RNAcentral lists this long non-coding RNA (8323 nucleotides) under Podarcis lilfordi (Lilford's wall lizard). The record is from RNAcentral. Lineage: Eukaryota; Metazoa; Chordata; Lepidosauria; Squamata; Lacertidae.
GCUGCAGGUACUAGGCCAAUGAGAAACUGCAAUGGUGAGUGACUAUCUCUCUGCCUCCCUGGCCUGCUGCCCCAACUAAUCCUCCGAGGAAGGUGACACUUGGUUUUUCAUCUAGCAUAUUAAAAAUGUGCUUAAUUAUUCUAAGCUGAAAACAAAAUACUAACAGAUUUAACAUGAUGUAUGAUGCCUGAGCAUCACUUUUCUGUCUAAGGCAGGUGUUCCUAACAUCCAACCACAGCUGCCAUAGUUUACACUCUGCUCUCUAACGCAGAUGAAGAGGAACAUAAUAUCUUAAUAUGUGCAGUCUAUCAGUUAAGCUCAGAAAGGUUGUGGGACUAUUUUUAAAUUAAAUAAAUGAGCCUAUCUCAACUGCAAUGCAAGGCAGUUAAACUGCAUUGUUUUUAUACCACCAGAGGAGUGAGCUCAUUUAAAGUCAUGUAUGCUAUUAACAUAGCAGUAGUCUUUUUGAUAUUUGUGUGUGUGUGUGCCUGCGCGCAUGAAAUGCUUCAGCUCUAAUUUAAUUUUGUGUUCUCAUUGGAAUGUUGAUCAGAAUUAAUUGCUUUUUAGUUCUGUUGCCGGAAUAAAGUUAAUAGAGAUAUUGAAUAAAGUAAAUGCAUUCUUUCCAGCACUGAACUUUGGAAAAAUAAGGCAGAGCCUCUUGUACUCCCACAGAUUUACUGCUCCGGGUGUAAUGUGUAACUUGCAUUUCUUCAUAUGAAUGUCGAAAGCCUCGGUAUUACUCAAGAUAGCUUGCAAUUUAAUUGUUUAGAUAAUUUGCAGUUUAAUAAACAACUGACAACGACUCAUUAUUAGGAGGGCAGACCUUUGAAAAUACUUUGUCCCCUUUUUCAUUCCCUAAUAUAGCAGAAUCAAAAUAGUGUUUGUUAUCAUUCAGUGCGGCUGUUAAUUAAUUCCAAGUUUACAUGCAGACAGACCUGGCUAGUGAUUUCAUCCCAUGGCAGGCUACUGCUCAUACUAACAUAAGAAAAGUUGUACUGGAACAGACCAAAGGCCAACUAGUCCAUCAUCCACGGUGGCCACCCACUUCCUGGAGAUGUCCACAAGUAGGACAUGAGGGUGAUAACACUCUCCCACUUGUGUUCUGCAGCAACUGGAAUGCCACCAUGACUUAGAAUCAUAGAAUCAUGGACUUGCAGGACUAGGCGUCGGGCUCACCAUACCCCAACCCAUGCAAAUAGGAGACCAAUAAGACUGGUUUGGGGUCAAAACAAGCUAGAACUUUAUUGAAUACAGAUGAAAGAGGUUUGGCUUGGGCAUGGGGCAAUCAAAAUACUUCUGGCCUGCCCGCUGGAAGUCAUGCGUUGUCAAUCCAGGCAGGGGUUCCUAAGACUUAUAUCAAAUAGGGUGACCCCCGCAGGGUCCUGGCCCCCCAUGGGCACAUGGACAUGGCCACUCCCCCGGAUCACUUUAACAGGAUCUCCAGCAUUUGGAGGGGCAGGUGGAGACUACAACCCCCCCUGUCCAAAACACAGGAUUGCCCCAAUGCCCAACCAGUUGUGGUGAUUGCUAUGAGGUAGGCAAAACCACCGGGUCACUGCCAAUUAGCCCAGUAGGCUAAUUCCUACCUGGCCCCAUAAAGAGCUGUGACCACCGUAGCCACAGCAAAGUCAUUGACUGUCAGCUUAAAUCCGGCGACGGAACAAACAGGUAGUGCCCUAGGUGUGGGCUGCUUCAAUGGGGCUAGGGGUGGGUCCUAGGGAAGCCUACCUGCUCCGUCAGCUCUGCCCCCUGGCACAGCCCAUGUCCCCAGCCUGCAUCCCCAUUCACCAAAACAGGGGGCAGGCUAGGAUACGCUUCCCAAUAGGAAGGGGCUUAAGCCCCCACUGCCUACCAGGAAGGGCACCACUGUUCCAGUUCCCUCCUUGGGGCCCCAGUGCCAUCCUGCAAUGCUGCCACACCAAGAGGGGUGAGCGGACUUGUAGAGUUGGAAGGGGAGGUGGCGUUUGCCCAUUCCUUGUGAUUAUGUUUGCACAGGGGGAUGGAAAUGGUUAAUGUAGAUUGACCAAUGAGAAAGCUCAGAGGCGGAGCCUACCUGGUUUUGAGGCUCAGCCCAGGGAUUUACCAUGGAGAGAAAGAGGCGUGAGGGUCAGACAGAGGCAGAAAAAGUCAAACAUAGUGGUUGUGACAGUUAAGAGUGAGAGACAGGGAUAGAACUGAGAGAGAAGAGUGUGACAGUGUGAGAUAGUGCCACAUCUAGUUAAGGGCGCGCAUCUGAUAAACCGUUCUGAACAUUUUUAAAACUUGUUUGUUCUUCAAUAAACUUUAAUCUUUGUUGUUGACUUUAAAACCUGACUGAGACUCAGUAUUUCACCAGAAGAAACCUGGUUGGUGGCAGCGGAAGAAUAAAGCAGUGGUGCACAGGUCAAUAGUCCGUGAAACAACUGGGAGCUCUGUAUAAACGCCACAGGGACCAUAAGGGAAUAUUUUGCCCAACAUGGGGCUUGAACCCACAACCAUGAGAUUAAGAGUCUCGUGCGGUAUCAACUGAGCUAUCCCAGAGUAUAUUUGUAGCCAUUGAUAAUCUUAUCCUCCAUUAAUUUAUUUGACCCCCUUUUAAAACUAUCUGAGUUGGUGACUGUCAGGUUUCUUUCCCAAAGCACAAUGACAGUGACUCUUACUCGAAAGUAAAGAAGAGAUCUUUAUUCAGACUAACAGAAUUACAGGCUCAGCAUCAAGCACUAGGUCCAGAAAUCAAAAUUCCAAGCACUGAAUUGGCAGCACUGCGUCCUUCUUGAUGUUGUUGCUUUAAUUUGGAGGAAAGCUUCCAAACCUGAAGCCCAUUGCAACCAGCUCCUUCCAUGCAAAUUUGUCAUCUAUGACAAGGAUAAAUCAUACGUGCAGAUCGUUUGUCAAAGUUGUGAAUGGGCUGCAAACAAAUGCUCCGAAAAAUUAUUCAAAAUGUGAAGAAGUGGAAAGAUGCUAAAGGGAUUUUGUACUCUGGGUGACUUUGAAAAGGAGUUGGGAGCCCAAGACUCUCCAGAUGUUGCUAAACUGAAAUCCCAUCCCUGAGCAAGGCUGGGGCUUAUGGAAAUUGGAAUUCCAACAACUCAUAGAAUCACAGAAUCAUAGAGUUGGAAGGAAUCCUGAGUUUCAUCUAGGAAUUUCAGCUAAAGCAUCCAUGGCAGACAGCCACCCAACUUCUGCUUCAAAACCUCCAAGGAAGGAGAGUCCACCACCUUCCAAGGGAGACCAUUCCACUGUUGAACAACUCUUACUGUCAAAAGUUUCCCCUGAUGUUUAGUCACAAUCACCUUUCUUGUAACUUGAAGCCAUUAGUUUGGGUCCUACCCUCCAGAACAGGAGAAAAACAAGCUUGCUCCCUCUUCCAUGUGACAGCCUUUGAGAUAUUUGAAGGUGGCUAUCAUAUCUCUCCUCUUUUCCAGGCUAAACAUGUUGUUGUUGUUGUUUAGUCGUUUAAUCGUGUCCGACUCUUCAUGUCGCCAUGGACCAGAGCACACCAGGCACUCCUGUCUUCCACUGCCUCCCGCAGUUUGGUCAAACUCAUGCUGGUAGCUUCGAGAACACUGUCCAACCAUCUCGUCCUCUGUCGUCCCCUUCUCCUUGUGCCCUCCAUCUUUCCCAACAUCAGGGUCUUUUCCAGGGAGUCUUCUCUUCUCAUGAGGUGGCCAAAGUAUUGGAGCCUCAGCUUCGUUAUCUGUCCUUCCAAUGAGCACUCACAGCUGAUUUCCUUAAGAAUGGAGAGGUUUGAUCUUCUUGCAGUCCAUGGGACUCUCAAGAGCCUCCUCCAGCACCAUAAUUCAAAAGCCUCAAUUCUUCGGCAAUCAGCCUUCUUUAUGGUCCAGCUCUCACUUCCAUACAUCACUACUGGGAAAACCAUAGCUUUAACUACCCAACUCCAAGUCGUGGAGGGCCAUAGGUUCUCUUUCCCUGGUCUUGGGGCAGGGACAGAGAGUUUAAAUGCACCUUCUGAAUGUCCUGUUCAGCACUUCGGAGCAGCUCUCUCUGCCUAGCGAUGACAUCCACUAAUAAACGGCUCUGCAAAUAGAUCUGGGCAGCCUGUACUUGUCUGCAGUUUCUGCAGAUUGGGAUCAGAGAGGUUUUGAGAGGAACUUCUUGUUCCCUGAUUAUUCUUUUGGCAGGCUCUAGGACAAGGGGCCUGCUGGAAUUGCUUUUUAAAAAAUUACUGCGUGUGCCUCUCUGGCUGUAAAAUAUGCCCAUAUAAAUGUGUUAUCUGUCUAUUAGUUUCCUAAGUGAAAAAUGUACAGGGGUCUCUGAUUAAAAGGGACAAAGAUAUCGCUCAUUGGUUCUGACAGUGAGAAUGUUGCUGAACAAUGUCUCCCCUUUCUUGCAGGAACGGAGACGCUAAUGUGAAACCGAGGCACAUUCUCUUGCAUGGAGAAUAGGCAGCAGGAUAUUUUCUCUCUGGCGAGACGCUUCAUCACCGGACAGUGAGCCUGCUAUGGGUUUUUAAUGCCAACUCAUAUUGUGAGGCUGGCUGAAAGAUGCUUUUCUUUCCCCUCCAGGAAAUUGAGGUUGAAUUUUAAUUCAAUGCCAGUCAUUACUGGAUCACGGCUGCAUUAUUUCAUGUCCUGUUCAACCAUUCUCGUGUGUCUAAUGUUCACAUUCACGGCGGAGAAGAAACAGCAGAUAUUAUUCACAUUCACCCCAAAAUCAAAUGGACUCUUUCCUGUUGAAACUAUGUCAAGGCUCAAUUAACUGUUAUGCUGAACGAUGUGCCAGGGUAGGAUGUCAGUCAAAUUGCCUUUCUGUUUAUGCAGCGGGAUGCAUGCGACUAAAUUUUACUCAGAGUAGACUCAUUGAAAUUAAUGGGCCUAAGCUCAUUACAUAUCCUUAGGCACCAGGUAAAAAAGUGGCCUUUUGCUGAUUAAUGUUCUAUGGGCUUUUAAAUGUGUUUGUGGGAGUGGGAUUUUUUGCUUUGUUUUUAUUUUGUUAUGUAUUUUUGGUUCUCAUUUUUAUUUUUAUGAUGUGAACCACCCUGUGAUCUUUGGGUGAAGGGGGGUGUACAAAUUUAAUAAAUAAUAAUAAUAAUUGAUAAUGCCUAUUAAUUUCACUGAGUUUGCUCUGAGGAAAGCUGAGUUGAAUACCAUUCCGUGUAAUUAUCUUUUCACGUGGCUGUAUGAACUAUGUUGGAAGCAAGCUUUCAGGUCAUGCAGGACUCACUGAGAGCACACCUGUAUUUCUUAAGGGGUUCUAGUUUCUCACUAUAUGUAGAAGCUGUUCGGCGUUUUCUGCAAUUGGACUUUGCGUGACCACCAGCUAUGCAACUUUGGAUGAAUCAAUGCAUGUGCAAUUGAGUUACCGGUAAUUUCUUUUAUUUUUCGAGAAAUUUUCAUUUGCAAAUAUAGCAAGAAAUAAAGAAACACCAUCAGCUGACAUUACCCCCCCCCCCCCCGAGAGCUACAAUUCUCAGAGUGGAUUAACAAUCAAUCCCUCAUUGCAGGAAACUCUUGCAAUUGUAGCUUUCUAAGGGAAAUAGACAUCUCUUAAGAAAUCUCAGCACCCUAUUCAACACUAUGGUGCCUCCAUUAAAAGGCAAAAGGUCUGUCCAUAGACAGCUUUCUGGUUCAUGUGGCUUCUGGCACAACAGAACACCAUGGCAGAAACCAGAGUGCACAGAAACGCCACGGGUGGCACUGUGGUCUAAACCACUGAGCCUCUUGGGCCUGCUGAUCAGAAGAUCAGCGGUUCAAAUCCCCGCGACGGGGUGAGCUCCCAUUUGUCUGUCCCAGCUCCUGCCAGCCUAGAACUUCGAAAGCAUGCCAGUGCAAGUAGAUAAAUAGGUACCACUGCGGCGGGAUGGUAAAUGGCAUAAAAUCCAACAACAUCCAGAGCGCACCAUGUUGGCUGUCCUAUUCUACACUGAGUGGUAGAAUCUCUCCAAGGUUUUCAGCAGGGGUAUUUCCCAGUCCUACCUGGAGAUGCCAGGAUUGAACCUGGGUCAUUCUGCAUGUAAAGCAGUUGCUCUACCACUGAACUGCAGCCUUCCCCUCCACCCCCAAAUAUCUGAAAAUUUAGGUGACAACCCAGGGGUACUGUCUGGGGAGGAGGGGAGGGGAUCUUUGACACUCUACUUUGCAUACAGGCCAGAUGCAGGACAAAUAUUUUCUGAUCCAGUUUGUAGAUGAUGCAUCUUUAGGCGUAUAUACACACACACACACAAACACACACACACACCAGCUUGUGAUUUAUUUCCAUUAAGGAGUAAGCUGGUGGUUUUAUUAAAGCUUCCAAUGUUUCAAAUGUAUUUUUCUACGCUGAUUUAGAAUGUCACGCUUCUUUCUUGCUUACAAGGAGGUGGGGGGGCGGCGGGGGCGGCUUCCGGUGUUAUUUAUUUAUUUUUAUAGGUGGCAUUUUUUCUGUAAUCAAAAAAUACAUUCUAAGGAACCGAUUUUCUGAAGCAUGAAAUGGAUAUAUAAAUACUAUUCUGUGACCUGUAACAUCCAAUUUCAGACUCCUUUGUCGAGCGACACCUAUCUAGCAGGAAACUAAAGAUUCUCUCUCCUUGGACAGUCAGAUGUAAAUAUAUAUAUUUUUAAAGAAAAAGAAUUAAACAUGCCAUGUGAAUUUUUGAAACCUUACUUUCUUCCUGGGCUCAAAAGAGGCAGGGAUAUAAACCAUAAGCUGUUUCCAAAACCCCUGAAAUGUAUAUAUAAUUGCUUCCUUAGCCUUCCAUCCUUGCUCCCUUUUCUGCCUGCCAUCUAGAUAUUUAUUACAGCAGCCCAGCCUACACAGAGUCUGUCAUUGUCGACUUGGAAAUAGGUCUCCUUGGGUUCAAUAAGAUUUGCUCCUGUGCCAGGCUAUAAAUCGGGUCCUCCCUUAAAGAGGGCUUGUGUUGUGAUUACACCUGGCAACCUAACCCUGUGUUGUGGGUGGGUACGUUUGGAUAGCCACAACAACCAAUUGGUAGGUCCCUUUAUGCAGGGUUCAAUCAGGCCAAUGGGAUGCAGGCUAAACGGAUCAAGGGACCUAUGUAUACCUAUGCACAUGAUGACCCAGAGCUUCCUCUUUCGGUGCGUGCAUCGGAACACCCACCCACCUCUCCCUAUAUUUAGGGCUUGCGCGCUUGACCUUGCUAUGCCGUCGUGUGUUGUCUGUCGUUGGGACAGGGGCACGGCAGGAAUUUUCCCCACUUGGCUGAUUGGCUGUUGCCAUUUGGGUUUCGCCUGCCACGUAGCAAAUCGUCACAACUUGUAAGGUUGCGGAUAGGUUCAGGUGAUAGGGAUGGGAGAACGCUCUCGCCAUCCCUAUGUGAAGGGUAUUCUGUUAAAGGAAUCCAGGGACUCGAUGGUUUGGUCAUCCCUGUGAGAGGGUUGUGCCCAUGCCUGAGUCCAGAGGGGCAUUUGGGUGGCCAAGAUAGCCUUCUCCCGGCUUUCCGCUUAUCCAGGUGUUCACCCUAGGCUGAACUAUGCUGGUGCCCUGGGUCAGCGCUACCUGCAACGGUGCAGGGAGCUAGUCGAACCAGAGCCUAUGCAACCAGUCGCUUUCUGUAAUCAAUAAAGUUGUGGGCUAAAUCCUGCCAAAAACCAUACCAAAAUUUGCCUCUUGUGGAUUUAUUUAAGGGGGAGGUUUAAAGGUCUCAACAUGCAAUUGUACGCAUGCGCACAACAAAACUGUGCAUGUUUGCUGAGAAGCCAUCCCAGUUGAAUUCAAUGGGAUUGACUUCCAGGUAAAAUGUGCAUGAGAGCAGUCCUAGGAACCAGCACCAGCCCUGAUUCACAGCGUCAUUGAGUGUUUUUGCCUGGCUUUAAUACAGUGGUACCUCGGGUUAAGUACUUAAUUUGUUCCAGAGGUCCGUUCUUAACCUGAAACUGUUCUUAACCUGAAGCACCACUUUAGCUAAUGGGGCCUCCUGCUGCUGCUGCACCACCGGAGCACGAUUUCUGUUCUCAUCCUGAAGCAAAGUUCUUAACCCAAGGUACUAUUUCUGGGUUACUGGAGUCUCUAACCUGAAGUGUCUGUAACCUGAAGCGUAUGUAACCCGAGGUGCCACUGUAUGUUGGUGCUGCUUCUCCCCCAGCAAGGGAGGAGAAGGGGGUCUUUCAAUCUAGCAGGCCUAAAGGCUUGCCCUGCCUGAAUGAUGAUUGUCUUAGCUUGAUGUUGACUUCCCCUCUCAGCUUCACUGGAUGGCACCAGGUUCUCAUGAGCCAGUGUGGUGUAGUGGUUAGAGUGUCAGACUAGGACCUGGGAGACCAGGGUUCAAAUCUCCACUUGGCUGUAAAGCUCAUUGGAUGACUUUGGGCCAAUCACAGUCUCUCAGCCUAGCCUGCCUCACAGGGUUGCUGUGGGGGUUAAAUGAGGAGGAGGAUAUAACCAUGCCACC